AGCGAACGCUGGCGGCAGGCCUAACACAUGCAAGUCGAACGAACUCUUCGGAGUUAGUGGCGGACGGGUGAGUAACACGUGGGAACGUGCCUUUUGGUUCGGAAUAACUCAGGGAAACUUGCGCUAAUACCGAAUGUGCCCUUCGGGGGAAAGAUUUAUCGCCAUUAGAGCGGCCCGCGUCUGAUUAGCUAGUUGGUGAGGUAACGGCUCACCAAGGCGACGAUCAGUAGCUGGUCUGAGAGGAUGACCAGCCACACUGGGACUGAGACACGGCCCAGACUCCUACGGGAGGCAGCAGUGGGGAAUCUUGCGCAAUGGGCGAAAGCCUGACGCAGCCAUGCCGCGUGAAUGAUGAAGGUCUUAGGAUUGAAAAAUUCUUUCACCGGGGACGAUAAUGACGGUACCCGGAGAAGAAGCCCCGGCUAACUUCGUG
Molecule: ribosomal RNA, 433 nt
Filed under: uncultured bacterium
Lineage: Bacteria
Description: partial 16S ribosomal RNA
Rfam family: Bacterial small subunit ribosomal RNA
Source: RNAcentral